RNAcentral lists this non-coding RNA (360 nucleotides) under Helobdella robusta. RNAcentral's name for it is "Bacterial large subunit ribosomal RNA". It matches the Rfam family "Bacterial large subunit ribosomal RNA", at positions 2049 to 2648 of the family's 2925-position model. The record is from Rfam by way of RNAcentral. Lineage: Eukaryota; Metazoa; Annelida; Clitellata; Rhynchobdellida; Glossiphoniidae.
UUAAGUGAAGAGACUUAAAUAAAAUUGAAAGACAAGAAGACCCUAUAGAGCUUUAUUUUAACUACAAGCUUAUUAUAGUAAAAUUCGGUUGGGGCGACCUAGGAAUAUUAAACACUCUAAAAUUUAUAAGAUUAAUACAUCUUUUUUUGAUCCAAUAUUUGAUCACUAGAUUAAGUUACCUUAGGGAUAACAAGCUAAUAAUUUUUUAGAGUUCUUAUCAACAAAACUGUUUGGCACCUCGAUGUUGGCUUAAGGAACCACCAUGACGCAGAAGUCAUAGAUGGGGGUUUGUUCAACCUGUAAAUCCUUACCUGAGCUGAGUUCAGACCAGCGUGAGCCAGGUUAGAUUCUAUCUCCAAU